Molecule: ribosomal RNA, 446 nt
Filed under: uncultured bacterium
Lineage: Bacteria
Description: partial 16S ribosomal RNA
Rfam family: Bacterial small subunit ribosomal RNA
Source: RNAcentral
CCAGACUCCUACGGGAGGCAGCAGUGGGGGAUAUUGCACAAUGGGGGGAACCCUGAUGCAGCGACGCCGCGUGGGUGAAGGAGCGUUUCGGCGCGUAAAGCCCUAUCGGCAGGGAAGAAGGAGGACGGUACCUGACUAAGAAGCCCCGGCUAACUACGUGCCAGCAGCCGCGGUAAUACGGAGGAUGCGAGCGUUAUCCGGAUUUAUUGGGUUUAAAGGGUGCGUAGGCGGGCUGUUAAGUCAGCGGAAAAAGCCCGGGGCUCAACCCCGGCGAGCCGUUGAAACUGGCUGUCUUGAGAUGUCGAGAGGUAUGCGGAAUGCGCAGUGUAGCGGUGAAAUGCAUAGAUAUCACGCAGAACCCCGAUUGCGAAGGCAGCAUACCGGUGCACAACUGACGCUCAGGCACGAAAGCGUGGGUAUCGAACAGGAUUAGAUACCCGAGUACU